CGUUGGAUCACCCCAUCAGUGUAUCUAGUUCGUUUAUUUUGGGCAGAAGAGACAGAGCAUCCUCUCACUAGAUGUCCCCAUGCAAUGGCCGGUUGUUACCCGCCUCCGGCUGCACGUGGGCCCCACCUUCGCUGGCCCCGCACGUCAGCCACUGCGGCUGGAAUCUCUUUCGGUUCGCAUUGGCGUCAGCCGGUGGAGGUCUCCACCCGCGGGGUACUUUCGGUAUUUCAGUGCCCGCCGUAUAAAACCGGGAUCGACGGAGCGAAACCCUAGCCGCCUUUGCGAAAUCGCUGUGUCGCAUCUCCUCCUCCACGCCGCCGCUCGCAUCUCCUCCUCCACGCCGCCUGGUCGCGCGUCUCUCCUCCUCCACGGCUCCACCCUAGCCGGCCGGCCCCCAAUUGCCUCACGCGACUCCUCAUCCCAAUCCUCUGAUGUGGCUCUUCUCCUCCAAUCCUCCUCCCUCCACUCCACAUCAAGGUCAAGCUGCCGCCACCACCACUCACCGUCGAGCCAGCGCGACGCACGGGGGCAUGGGAGCCGCCGCAAGAUUCAGGAGCUCCAGAUCCUGAAUCCUACCCACGUUGGUCGUCGUCCGGCGGCAUCACCAUUGUCCCGGACAAGAAGCUCGCCUGCGCUGCCGUAUCUCUCCUCGUCGCCCCCAGCCUCGUGACUCCUACCAACCAGGUGCAGUACGGUCCGCUGGAAGAUGUCCUACCAGGACGGCGCCGCCCGGACGCCGGCCACGCCCAAGCACCGGCCCGCCCAAGCGCCGUGCCUGUGCUCGUCCGAGCUCGUCGUCACCUACAAGCGCCGCCGCACAGCCACUCGAGGCGCCAGGUCUGACCCUGGGGCGCCUUGUGCCACCAUGGUGGCCUGGAGCGGCAAUUCUCGCCAAGAAUGGCAGCAGAUGCUGGCCAGCCAUUGGAUUACUUGGAGGGACACAUUGGAGGCUUCCUGCAAUCCCAGGUGUAAAUAAGGGUGGGGGAUUCAGAGCUGCAUCAGGGAUGUGCUCAGAUUCAACUUUUGUCAACUGGUGCCACAAGUCGGUUCUAAUGCUUUUGUUAUGCAUCAUUUAGCAGAAGAAGCAACGUUGUGCAUAAUUCCAUGGCCUGAUUUAUCCUAUUACAUUAUUUUGUAUUUUGUGCAUUAGCUAAAGAUUGCAGGUUUCUUUUCCUAUGCUGAUGUCAGAUUGUCAUCAUCUCCGCCACAAGAGCUGUUGCUGGACUGGUUUUAGAGUGCUAAUCAUCCAAGUGACUUCCAUGGUCGCCCACUAAUACGUGAGCUACAGAGAUGCAGGGAUGCAGCCCUGUCUUGAAGACAUAUAAGCCUUCAUUCCUUUGAGAGCAAAAGUUUGUGAAAAUGGUGUGCUUUAAUAAAUUUUAUCCUUUGCUGCCCUCCCUGGUUGGCUGAUUUAUGGAGGUUGAGUCGGCUAGAUGUUUAGAUGCGUCCCCUUUGUUUACAGGUUAGUUGCAAAUAUAUAUUUAUCUUAAAUAUGGUUUUGCUGUUUAUAUUAUAUUGAUGGGACUAGAUGCAACUCCACUCUUGAUGCUUUGGUAGUAAAGUUACGGCUUGCAGAUAUUUAGGUAUGUUUAUGUAGUAACAGCUUAUAUGAAAACUCUUUCAUCCAGUGAAGCUUCUUAAGGUCUAAGGGCAUGGGUUGAAUGAGAGAAAUAAGAAAUAUAAGGGGGAUCAGGUCAGGGGUCUGAUAGUUGAUGAUAGUAAAUCUAAAUUUCUGUAUUUAUGCAUUUUUGGUUUUGUUCAAAGAAAUGGUUAGAAGGGCCCAAUGUAAAAAAUUACAAGAUCAUCAAAGGCAAAGAAAAAGGAAUAUCUAAAUGCUGAAGUAUGAUGGCAAAAAUUAAAUGAAGUCGAUUAUAUUGCUUUACCUCUCGAUUAUAUGCCUUUUUAUACAGGAGCUUAUGUUUGACUAAAUGAAGCUUGCUAUCUGCAAAGUUUUAUUUAAUAUCCACACCUUAUGUUUGAUAAACAUGUUUAGCCUCGCUUGUAGUAGCUGCAGUUAUUAUUUAUGCAGGAGCUUUUUGUAAACUGGGGUUUACCUUUCUUUAAUAAUUUACCAUUUUUUACAAUCGAUAGAAAAACUUUUUGCAACUAACUUUCUCACAGUAAGUUUCUUGUAGAAGUUCAACUGAAUAACAGUUGACCCAAACGGGGUAUCAUGAAGAGAGUCUCAUCGCAUGUCUCAUUGCCUCAGAGGCUGAUAUCAGUCUUGAUCUGUUGCGGUUACUAAUUGAUAAGCCAGGGCUCACGCAUCGGCAAAACGAUGGCUUUGAUAGUGUAAUGCAGUCAUCGGCAAAACGAUGACUUUGAUACCUGCAUCCCGUACUGGGUUUGACUCCCCAUUCUCAAUACGAACACACUUCGGUGAGCCAAGUGGACCACACCCCCUUAUGAAUGAGGCAUGGGAGGCACUCAGGAAAUUUGUACUGUAUUUUCACGGCCAACCAGUUGGUACAAUUGUUGCGGUAGAUCAUUCAUCUGAGAAAGUGCUCAAUUAUGAUCAGUGCGUUGGCUUUUCUGAUGAACAACAAGCCCGAUAUAGUGAAGAACUUCCUAUUGAAAACUCUUCACUUGCAAAACUCAGAUUAAAUGGUAGACCGGUUAAAUCUUGGAGCAGGAGCAAUGCCUGCAAGUUUCAAGGUGGACCGUAAUAAAAAUAGAAACACAGAAACAUUAGUUGCAGACUUUGGUAGACCGUUAUUUGUUUCGUACAGAUUUAGUUUCAGAAUGCUAAUUGGUUGUGUUAAACUGCAGCGCAUUUUCCCCUCACGUGACCUCAUAUUUUGGUUAUCCAUGCAAUCCAGCAAUUGAAGCACUAUUUGGCUCAUCCAUGAGAAGCACAAAAGAUCAUACAUGGAGUUGACGAAGAAACUUUACGGAUCUCAAUUUUACCUGUGAGCUUCUUCAGAUCCAUUCACUGAGGGAGGUAUCUUCCAACUUUUUAGUUCUAUUUUUUGCAGUAUAUGGUUCCAUAUCUGGCUAUAUUUUUCACAAAAUAGAGGUAAUAAAGGAACGAACUGAAGGUUUUUUAUUUUUGUAAAUAUGUGUCACUUUCUGUUUGAUGGGAUUUGUAUAAUUUGUUGAGUAUUCUUCUGUUCAUGGCAAAUGAAGCUUUUUCUUUAUAGAGCUGGACUGUAGGAACUGAUUGUGAGGGUAUGGACUUUGUUCUUGCUGAUCGAUGGCGCCGGCCAGCUGGACCUAUUGGUGUUUGACUGUUUGGUAAUUUGGCCCUGAGAAGAUUUGUUGUCUUCAAAUACAGCUAAAUGUUGUUUGCAAAUACUCAGGGGUGUAUAUGCACACAGACUUGGUAAGACUCUCUUUACGUAUACCACUGCUUCUAUUUCCUUUCCCAGACUGUUUUUAGGUUCAUUUUCACACAUUUCGGGUUCUUGCGACAUAAAUAUAAGAUUAGUGAAGCAAUGAUACUCAUAUUAUUUUUUGUUACUGACACAUCAAUUUGCGAGGGUGCCCCCCAUGCCUCACCUCGCCUGAUCGUAGUGAGACACAAUGAAACAUAAGGUAAAUAUCUUCUCAUUCUAAUACGUUGGAUCCCUUAUGUCUUGUUUCAGCUAAUAUUUCUUUCUAUUUUUUAUUCAUUAGAGCUUGUGGUCAUUAAUUUUUCAACGUUACUAAUAAUUAUGGAUCUUUAUCAUCAAACACAAGGAAAGAGCAACUUAAUGAGCGCUCUUCUCAGCAGAGAAUCAUUAAGUCACUCAUUUCAGCCCUCGCGCCAUAUGGCCCCGGCAGCAUCCGACGACGAUGGGAUGGCCCCGCUCCCUCGCUCCCCAGGUGAGGUUGUCGCCGACGAGGGGGAAUCGCAUGAGCCGCCGCCUCGAGCCGCCAUCAGCCCAGCUCGUGCCCUCUUCCCCGUUAGCCAGCCAUACGGGCAUCCGCAUGUGUCGCUGCUGCUCCGCCUCUUCAUCCUCUGCAUCUAAAGGUGGAGCACGUGAACAAGACAGGCUAGGUAUUGCAGCACCCGGGGACAAAGCGUCGAUGAUGGCGACCUAGCGACUCUGCAUUGUCCGAGGUAUACAAGUUACGGUAGAUGUCUCAACAUCUUCCACUGAACUGGUUUCACAAAUUUAAUCUCAAGUGCAAGAUGCCUGCGUGUGUCUCCAACCUCAGGCCCGCUAGAUCUUGAUUCGGUUUGUCCCUUUCUUAGAUACCUGAAUAGUGUAUUGUGUUAUUUUGCACCAAAAAUAGGAACCAAUUGGUGUACUACUUAAUAUAUUUGAAAGUUUGGCUUGUGAAAUAUAAUUUAGUAGUUAACUUUUCUAUGCAAAAAUGAAUCUCUCUACUCUGAAGAUGGCUAUGGAGAUGGGGGGCAUAUGUUUGUUGUUGUGAUGUGCAAGUCCAGCAUUAAUUUAUGAUUCUGAUCAUCUGGGGUCAACCACCACUGACCCUGUCUACAGCUUGGAUCGAGAACCGUCUGCCUAAGCAUCAACUCUCCUAUGUUUACUCAUGUAAUGUAGUUAGUUAUUUUCCUUGCUGGGAUUAUAUAACAUAUAUAUAAACUGUAGGCUUUGUGUUUGAGCCAUCUACCUCAGACCUCAUGUAUGUAUGUACGACAUCAUUCAUGUAUUCUCUAUGGCUGAUUGACUACUUACAAUGCUUAUAGAUAUAACGGCUUUUGUUGACUAA
Molecule: non-coding RNA, 4656 nt
Organism: Lolium perenne
Lineage: Eukaryota; Viridiplantae; Streptophyta; Magnoliopsida; Poales; Poaceae
Source: RefSeq, a predicted model, not a curated record